GAUGAACGCUGGCGGCGUGCCUAAUACAUGCAAGUCGAGCGAACAGACGAGGAGCUUGCUCCUCUGACGUUAGCGGCGGACGGGUGAGUAACACGUGGAUAACCUACCUAUAAGACUGGGAUAACUUCGGGAAACCGGAGCUAAUACCGGAUAAUAUUUUGAACCGCAUGGUUCAAUAGUGAAAGACGGUUUUGCUGUCACUUAUAGAUGGAUCCGCGCCGCAUUAGCUAGUUGGUAAGGUGACGGCUUACCAAGGCGACGAUGCGUAGCCGACCUGAGAGGGUGAUCGGCCACACUGGAACUGAGACACGGUCCAGACUCCUACGGGAGGCAGCAGUAGGGAAUCUUCCGCAAUGGGCGAAAGCCUGACGGAGCAACGCCGCGUGAGUGAUGAAGGUCUUCGGAUCGUAAAACUCUGUUAUUAGGGAAGAACAAAUGUGUAAGUAACUGUGCACGUCUUGACGGUACCUAAUCAGAAAGCCACGGCUAACUACGUG
This 497-nucleotide ribosomal RNA is filed under the name uncultured bacterium. RNAcentral describes it as "partial 16S ribosomal RNA". It matches the Rfam family "Bacterial small subunit ribosomal RNA", at positions 28 to 507 of the family's 1533-position model. The record is from RNAcentral.